This 373-nucleotide ribosomal RNA is filed under the name uncultured organism. RNAcentral's name for it is "partial 16S ribosomal RNA". It matches the Rfam family "Bacterial small subunit ribosomal RNA", at positions 527 to 896 of the family's 1533-position model. The record is from RNAcentral.
GUAGGUGGCAAGCGUUGUCCGGAAUUAUUGGGCGUAAAGCGCGCGCAGGCGGUUCUUUAAGUCUGAUGUGAAAGCCCACGGCUCGACCGUGGAGGGUCAUUGGAAACUGGAGAACUUGAGUACAGAAGAGGAAAGCGGAAUUCCACGUGUAGCGGUGAAAUGCGUAGAGAUGUGGAGGAACACCAGUGGCGAAGGCGGCUUCUGGUCUGUAACUGACGCUGAGGCGCGAAAGCGUGGGGAGCAAACAGGGAUUAGAUACCCUGGUAGUCCACGCCGUAAACGAUGAGUGCUAAGUGUUAGGGGGGUUUCCGCCCCCUUAGUGCUGCAGCUAACGCAUUAAGCACUCCGCCUGGGGAGUACGGCCGCAAGGCUG